GACGAACGCUGGCGGCGUGCUUAACACAUGCAAGUCGAACGGAAAGGCCCUGCUUUUGUGGGGUGCUCGAGUGGCGAACGGGUGAGUAACACGUGAGUAACCUGCCCUUGACUUUGGGAUAACUUCAGGAAACGGGGGCUAAUACCGGAUAGGAGCUCCUGCUGCAUGGUGGGGGUUGGAAAGUUUCGGCGGUUGGGGAUGGACUCGCGGCUUAUCAGCUUGUUGGUGGGGUAGUGGCUUACCAAGGCUUUGACGGGUAGCCGGCCUGAGAGGGUGACCGGCCACAUUGGGACUGAGAUACGGCCCAGACGCCUACGGGAGGCAGCAGUGGGGAAUAUUGCACAAUGGGCGGAAGCCUGAUGCAGCAACGCCGCGUGCGGGAUGACGGCCUUCGGGUUGUAAACCGCUUUCGCCUGUGACGAAGCGUGAGUGACGGUAAUGGGUAAAGAAGCACCGGCUAACUACGUG
This 468-nucleotide ribosomal RNA is filed under the name uncultured bacterium. RNAcentral's name for it is "partial 16S ribosomal RNA". It matches the Rfam family "Bacterial small subunit ribosomal RNA", at positions 28 to 507 of the family's 1533-position model. The record is from RNAcentral.